GACGAACGCUGGCGGCGUGCUUAACACAUGCAAGUCGAACGGAAAGGCCCUGCUUUUGUGGGGUGCUCGAGUGGCGAACGGGUGAGUAACACGUGAGUAACCUGACCUUGACUUUGGGAUAACUUCAGGAAACUGGGGCUAAUACCGGAUAGGAGCUCCUGCUGCAUGGUGGGGGUUGGAAAGUUUCGGCGGCUGGGGAUGGACUCGCGGCUUAUCAGCUUGUUGGUGGGGUAGUGGCUUACCAAGGCUUUGACGGGUAGCCGGCCUGAGAGGGUGACCGGCCACAUUGGGACUGAGAUACGGCCCAGACUCCUACGGGAGGCAGCAGUGGGGAAUAUUGCACAAUGGGCGGAAGCCUGAUGCAGCAACGCCGCGUGCGGGAUGACGGCCUUCGGGUUGUAAACCGCUUUCGCCUGUGACGAAGCGUGAGUGACGGUAAUGGGUAAAGAAGCACCGGCUAACUACGU
Molecule: ribosomal RNA, 467 nt
Filed under: uncultured bacterium
Lineage: Bacteria
Description: partial 16S ribosomal RNA
Rfam family: Bacterial small subunit ribosomal RNA
Source: RNAcentral